Molecule: ribosomal RNA, 492 nt
Filed under: Ophiocordyceps longissima
Lineage: Eukaryota; Fungi; Ascomycota; Sordariomycetes; Hypocreales; Ophiocordycipitaceae
Description: SSU rRNA
Rfam family: Eukaryotic small subunit ribosomal RNA
Source: RNAcentral
GCAAUUAUACGGCGAAACUGCGAAUGGCUCAUUAUAUAAGUUAUCGUUUAUUUGAUAGCACCUUACUACUUGGAUAACCGUGGUAAUUCUAGAGCUAAUACAUGCUGAAAAUCCCGACUUCGGAAGGGAUGUAUUUAUUAGAUUAAAAACCAAUGCCCUCUGGGCUCUCUGGUGAUUCAUGAUAACUUCUCGAAUCGCAUGGCCUUGCGCCGGCGAUGGUUCAUUCAAAUUUCUUCCCUAUCAACUUUCGAUGUUUGGGUAGUGGCCAAACAUGGUGGCAACGGGUAACGGAGGGUUAGGGCUCGGCCCCGGAGAAGGAGCCUGAGAAACGGCUACUACAUCCAAGGAAGGCAGCAGGCGCGCAAAUUACCCAAUCCCGACGCGGGGAGGUAGUGACAAUAAAUACUGAUACAGGGCUCUUUUGGGUCUUGUAAUUGGAAUGAGUACAAUUUAAAUCCCUUAACGAGGAACAAUUGGAGGGCAAGUCUGGUG